This 308-nucleotide long non-coding RNA is filed under the name Spirodela polyrhiza (greater duckweed). RNAcentral describes it as "long non-coding RNA (SPOL_LNC002614)". The record is from RNAcentral. Lineage: Eukaryota; Viridiplantae; Streptophyta; Magnoliopsida; Alismatales; Araceae.
CCCAUAGAGUUAUGAAUCUAAAAGGAUUGUUUUAAGAAAAGACUAGGUAGACUAUAGCCACUAGAUGUAGUAUAGGGCUAGUUGAAGGUCUCGUCUUCAACUAAUGUUCUAACUAGAGUCUAUUGAACCUAUGUAUGUGAUCAUCAAAAAGUGAAGUUGGUCAAGUAGAUCGACACACUAUAAUUUUCUUUUUCACACAUUGAUAGAAUACUCGAAUUUAGAAGUAGAUUCGAAAAUGGCCAAUUCACCCCCUCGUUAUUCCUACAAGCUCAUUUAAACCAACAUCUUCUAUUAGUUGAUUAUAGUCA